AGGGCAGACGGUGGAUGCCUAGGCUCUCGGAGGCGAUGAAGGACGUGAUAAGCUGCGAUAAGCUGCGGGGAUUGGCACAUACGAAUUGAUCCGCAGAUUUCCGAAUGGGGCAACCCGGCAUGUAGAAGACAUGUCACACCGCAGAGCGGUGAGCGAACGUGGGGAACUGAAACAUCUAAGUACCCAUAGGAGGAGAAAACAAAAGUGAUUCCCUUAGUAGUGGCGAGCGAACGGGGACCAGCCCAAACCAACACUGUUUCGGCAAUGUUGGGGUUAUAGGACUGCAACGUGGACUCAUUAGUUAUAGAAGAACAAACUGGAAAGUUUGACCGUAGAAGGUGAAAGUCCUGUAUUCGAAAUAGCGAAUGUACCUAGCAGUAUCCUGAGUAGCGCGGAACACGAGAAAUUCUGUGUGAAUUAGCGGGGCCCAUCCCGUAAGGCUAAAUACUCCCGAGAGACCGAUAGCGAACCAGUACCGUGAGGGAAAGGUGAAAAGAACCUCGAAUAGAGGAGUGCAAUAGACCCUGAACCCGUCUGCCUACAAGCGGUAGGAGCAGGCUCGUCCUGUGACUGCGUGCCUUUUGCAUAAUGAACCUACGAGUUACUUUGUCUAGCAAGGUUAAGUGACGUUAGUCACGCAGCCGAAGCGAAAGCGAGUCUAAGCGUUGAAAAGCUUUCGGAUGAACUGAGGGUAGGGGUGAAAGGCUAAUCAAACUUGGAGAUAGCUCGUACUCCCCGAAAUGCAUUUAGGUGCAGCCUUAGGAGUUUCUUAUACGAGGUAGAGCGACUGAUUGGAUGCGAGGCUUUCACCGGCUAUCAAGUCCAGACAAACUCCGAAUGCGUAUAAGUAAGAUCCUAGGAGUGAGGGCAUGGGUGCUAAGGUCCGUGUCCGAGAGGAGAAGAAUCCAGACCAUCGGCUAAGGUCCCGAAAUAAUAGCUAAGUUGAACAAACGAAGUCAAGACGCUAAGACAGCUAGGAUGUUGGCUUGGAAGCAGCCAUUCAUUUAAAGAGUGCGUAACAGCUCACUAGUCGAGUGUUUUGGCAUGGAUAAUAAUCGGGCAAAUGUAGGUAUAAGUAACGAUAAAGGAGGUGAGAAACCUCCUCGCCGAAAGACUAAGGUUUCCUGAUCAACGCUAAUCGGAUCAGGGUUAGUCGGGCCCUAAGGGAAAGCCGAACGGCGCACCCGAUGGAUGAACCGGUUAAUAUUCCGGUACUAUUUAUGUGAGCGAUGUGGUGACGGAAGAGUGACAGUCCUGCCGACUGACGGAAUAGUCGGUUAAAGGGUGUAGAUGUAGAUGCUGGUAGGCAAAUCCGCCGGCAGAGUCGAACCUGACAGUACUAGGCGUGCAUGCACAAAUAGAUAUGGACGUAAACAGAUUCCCUAGAAAAACCGCUAAGCAUAUUGCAUGAAUACCCGUACUAAAAAACGGCGGCCGUAACUAUAACGGUCCUAAGGUAGCGAAAUUCCUUGUCGGGUAAGUUCCGACCUGCACGAAUGGUGUAACGAUCUGGGCACUGUCUCAACCGCGAGCUCGGUGAAAUUGUAGUAUCGGUGAAGAUGCCGAUUACCCGCAACGGGACGAAAAGACCCCGUGAACCUUUACUAUAGCUUUACAUUGUAUUUGGGUAACAGAUGUGUAGGAUAGGCCGGAGACUAUGAAGCGGGCACGCCAGUGUUUGUGGAGUCGCUGUUGAAAUACGGCCCUUUUGUUACUUGGGUACUAACUCGCAGAGCGAGGACAGUGUAUGGUGGGUAGUUUGACUGGGGUGGUCGCCUCCAAAAGCGUAACGGAGGCUUCUAAAGGUACCCUCAGACCGAUUGGUAACCGGUCGAAGAGUGUAAUGGCAUAAGGGUGCUUGACUGGGAGACAAACAAGUCGCACAGGUAGGAAACUAGAGCAUAGUGAUCCGGUGGUUCCGUAUGGAAGGGCCAUCGCUCAAAGGAUAAAAGGUACUCCGGGGAUAACAGG
Molecule: ribosomal RNA, 1971 nt
Filed under: human oral metagenome
Description: bacterial LSU rRNA
Rfam family: Bacterial large subunit ribosomal RNA
Source: RNAcentral